UACGUAGGGGGCUAGCGUUGUCCGGAAUCAUUGGGCGUAAAGCGCGUGUAGGCGGUUCGGUAAGUCCGCUGUGAAAGUCGGGGGCUCAACCCUCGAAAGCCGGUGGAUACUGUCGGACUAGAGUGCGGAAGAGGCGAGUGGAAUUCCUGGUGUAGCGGUGAAAUGCGCAGAUAUCAGGAGGAACACCAAUUGCGAAGGCAGCUCGCUGGGACGUUACUGACGCUGAGAAGCGAAAGCAUGGGGAGCGAACAGG
Molecule: ribosomal RNA, 253 nt
Filed under: uncultured bacterium
Lineage: Bacteria
Description: partial 16S ribosomal RNA
Rfam family: Bacterial small subunit ribosomal RNA
Source: RNAcentral